Long non-coding RNA from Aethalodelphis obliquidens (Pacific white-sided dolphin), 2022 nucleotides. RefSeq lists it as uncharacterized. The record is from RefSeq and is a predicted model, not a curated record. The transcript is spliced from 3 exons. NCBI's taxonomy places the organism in Eukaryota, Metazoa, Chordata, Mammalia, Artiodactyla, Delphinidae.
UCCACGACAUAUGCGAUCUUCCCGGACCGGGGCACGAACCCGUGUCCCCUGCAUCGGCAGGCGGACUCUCAACCACUGGGCCACCAGGGAAGCCCGGUUGUUUAUAUUCUUGAAAACUCCAUUAGACAGUGAGAACUGAGCAGCUGAGAUUCUCUUAUGGGACUGUAUGUAGACAUUCCCCGGGUUCCGAUUCAGGAUUUCCAAGCUUUCUGGGGUGGAUGGGUAAAUAGAUGUAUCAGCUGGAGCUUAGAAGCAUUCUCUGAGCCAGCCUCAAGAUGUGAAGGAGACAGGGCUUAUUUCAUUUAUGAAAUUGAAUCAUUCGUAGACUCAAGGACAAAAGUCUAACAAUGAAGAUGACUAACAUAAAAUUAUCACUGUCAGACUUACAUUAUAUCUGGAAGAACUGGAUUAUAAAAGCCAAGUCACGUGUUGUCAAAGGCCUGAGGUUUGCAAGGAAAUUCUCUCAAAAAGGCCCAUGCAAAAAAUGUCCUGAAGUAGAAUCUGAGACCUGGUAGCACAAAAGUGCCUUGAAUGUCCUUAACUGGCAGGGUGAAGACCAGGGGACAGAGGCAGUUUUAAAGUAGCCACAGCCCUUCAAUCACAUUCAGGAACUGGUGCUUCGAAAAAACAAACCACCAAAAAGAGUACAGAUAAAUGUCACAGCAAAUCAAGUUAAAACAUGGUAGCUGUAGCCACGUGAUUGAGUUCUGCCCAAAGGAUUGCAGAUACCAGGUGCGUAGUUCUUCUCCAGGCCCUGUUCUAACACCUCCCACAAAAUCCUCCACACCCUCUUUCUUCUCAUGAGUGGUUACUUACAGGAACCCGAAGAAGCACUUAAAGCUCUAGGGAAUUGUAGGCUUACGUCAGGGGUCAUCAAACUUCUUCUGUAAAGGGUCAGAUAAUAAAUAUUCUAGGGCUUUGAGGAUAUAUAAGGUUCCUGUUGCUGCUGCUACUGCUUCUACAACCCUUUAAAAAUGUAAAAGCUCUUCUUAGCUUCUAGAAUUGGGCUGGGUUUGACUUGGGGGCUGUAGUUUGUCAGCCCCUUCACAGAUAAAAAGGUCUUAGAUUUCGGAAUGCCUAUGUAAAGCACAGCCCUCUCCCCCCUACUGCCCCCGCCUCCUGAGUCUGCAACUGACUUACUUGGAUUAUGAUGGGAAUGAUAACUCUUACUGUGUUUCGCUUUCUCUGAACUAUAGCUAUGAGACUUUCUAUCUCAAAUGCAAUAAAGAGAUAACUAUUUGGGGAACUUGAACAAAGUGGAGCUCCAAUUUCAAGAAGUCGAGGUCCAUUCACCCCCAAAUAGUCUUCUUUACUAAAAAUGUUGCUUAUUCUGGAAGUAUCUUGUUUUCUACGCUGCUUUGUCUAGUCCUUGCCUAGGGAACCAUCGUGAUCAAACAAAUCUGCCUAGGCCAGAGCAGACUGCUUUAAAAUCACAGCUUUAAAAUCCAGCAGAAGAAGUUUCCAAGUUGGAGGAGGAUCAAGAGGAGAAUCUGGAAGAGUAAACAAAGAAAGAAGAUGUGCGCUUCACCACAUAAAUUGAAUCUGCAAAGCAUAUGGAAACCUCAGGUGUAUCUGACUCAUAAUAUUAAUAUUUUCUCUAAGAUCUACAAUCUCCCUCCUUCUCUUCUCCACUUUUCUGAAAUAACCCACAUCUGUGAAGUUUCUUCUUUUUUUAUAUUUCUCAGUCCCUACUGAUGCACAGAACUCACUAGUAUCGACAAGCCCAGGCAACCUUUGGUAGCAAGUCAGGGUGGCGUAAUGAAAUGUUUGGGGAAAAAACUCCCCACCGCAGUCUGGUUCACUCAAACAGCUUGCCAAGAUGAUGUGGUUCUCACGCAAAGAAAAAGUGCUCCUUCACCUGUACCAGCAAGUUGCUCCCCCUAAGACAGCAGACUGCAUUUGUUUUGACACUGACAAUAAGAGCAUGCCUUUGGGACAAUGGGUGGAAUCAGAGUUGAACUGAAGCCAACUCCAGUUUUUUAAGGAAAAAUUUUCAUGACACUUCCAGGUGGGCAGAUUCAA